RNAcentral lists this long non-coding RNA (238 nucleotides) under Mus spicilegus (steppe mouse). RNAcentral describes it as "lncRNA (ENSMSIG00000008249.1)". Lineage: Eukaryota; Metazoa; Chordata; Mammalia; Rodentia; Muridae. The record is from RNAcentral.
CUGCAUCCCUUUUCACAGCUGGAAAUAAACUGUUGUGGUAUGGGCUCUGAAUUGCUUUACACCUGGCUGCCAAUGGGAGAGCUGAUUCUGUGAAGCCUGAGGUGUCGGACUCUGGAUGGAACCCAUACUCUCAGCCACAAUGCAGUGUCACUUCAGUUAGGAACACUGUGGCCCCGGAGGUUGUUUAGCCCACAACCUGACAGAACCAUCGGCUGACUUCUCUUAUUCUUGGCCAGUC